Molecule: ribosomal RNA, 1658 nt
Filed under: Pseudaphelenchus vindai
Lineage: Eukaryota; Metazoa; Nematoda; Chromadorea; Rhabditida; Aphelenchoididae
Description: SSU rRNA
Rfam family: Eukaryotic small subunit ribosomal RNA
Source: RNAcentral
UGUUAGUGGAAAGGAUAAAUUGGAAACUGCGAAUAGCUCAUUACAACAGGGAUGAUUUAUAAGAUCUAUUUUCUUAAAUGGAUAUGAGCGGUAAUUCUGGGACCAAUACAUGGUCUAACUGCUUGCUUCGGCAAGUAGGCAAAGUCCUGAUUCAGAUCAUUUUCCUAUCGUGAAUGAUGGACUUUAAACCGCUAAUCGCAUGUUUUCGGACGGCGAUGUAUCUUAUAAGUCCCUGCCCUAUUAACCUGGCGCGAGUGUAGCGAACUCUCAAGGUUGUUAUGGGUAACGGAGGAUCAGGGUUCGACUCCGGAGAGGGCGCCUUAGAAAUGGCGACCAGUUCCACGGAAUGCAGCAGGCGCGAAACUUACCCAAUGUCAAUUCGACGAGGUAGUGAAGAAACAUAAUGAGACUGACCUCUUUGAGGGCGGUCAUUGUAAUGGAUUGAAUCCAAACUCUUCUUUGAGUAUCAACGAGUGGGCAAGUCUGGUGCCAGCAGCCGCGGUAAUUCCAGCACUCGUAAGGUAUAGAAUUAUUGUUGCGUUUAAAAAGCUCAUAGUUGGAUUGUCACAAGGGAUUGGGUUCGAAUUUCGGUUCGUUACUCGGCCCUUGUUCGGUAUAUGACUUGCUCGGCUUCGGUCGCAGCUCGUUUAUACUGCUUUACUUUGAAUGUCUUAAGUGCUCAAUGCGAGGCUUAAGCUUGAAUAACACUGCAUGGAAUAAUGAAACAAGGUUUCGACUGAGUUUCUUUGGUCUGUUAGUUGAAACAAUGAUUAACAGGAACAGUUCGUGGGUGAACGUAUCGCAGCGCGAGGAGUGAAAUCUGUGGACCGUUGCGAGACGACCGAAAGCGAAAGCAUUCACCAAGGAUGUUUUCAUUAAUCAAGAGCGAAAGUCAGAGGUUCGAAGGCGAUUAGAUACCGCCCUAGUUCUGACCGUAAACGAUGCCAACUAUCGAUCUGCGUGUGGAUUUUAUUCACUGCGUGGGGAGGCUCCCGGAAACGAAAGUUUUUCGGCUCCGGGGGUAGUAUGGUUGCAAAGCUGAAACUUAAAGGAAUUGACGGAAGGCCACCACCAGGAGUGGAGCUUGCGGCUUAAUUUGACUCAACACGGGAAAGCUCACCUGAGCAGUAUAUUGUAUGGAUUGACAGAUUGAUAGCUCUUUCAUGAUUCGGUUAAUGGUGGUGCAUGGCCGUUCUUAGUUCGUGGAUUGAUUUGUCUGCUUAAUUGCGAUAACGAACGAGACUCUGGCAAUUAAAUAGGGGCUCUGAUUCGUCAGUAGUAUACCUUCUUAGUUGGAUUGAUUAUGGUGAAUGAUAUGAAAGAGAGCAAUAACAGGUCUGUUAUGCCCUGAGAUACCCAGGGCCGCACGCGUGCUACAAUGUUAGUCACAGCGUGAUUGUCCUUCUCCGAUAGGAGUUGGCAAACCCGUGAGAUAUUAUUAUGGUCGGAAUUGAGUAUUGGAAUUAUUACUCGUGAACAAGGAAUUCCAAGUAAGUAUGAGUCAUCACCUCAUACUGAUUACGUCCCUGGCCUUUGUACACACCGCCCGUCGCUGCCCGGAACUGAGUUAUUUCGAGAAGACUAUGGACGAUGAUGCUUUUUCAUUUCGGUGUUGGGUAUCGUUGAAAGUAGUUUAAUCGCGAUGACUUGAACCGGGC